GUAGGUGGCAAGCGUUGUCCGGAAUUAUUGGGCGUAAAGCGCGCGCAGGCGGUCCUUUAAGUCUGAUGUGAAAGCCCACGGCUCAACCGUGGAGGGUCAUUGGAAACUGGGGGACUUGAGUACAGAAGAGGAAAGCGGAAUUCCAAGUGUAGCGGUGAAAUGCGUAGAGAUUUGGAGGAGCACCAGCGGCGAAGGCGGCUUUCUGGUCUGUAACUGACGCUGAGGCGCGAAAGCGUGGGGAGCAAACAGGGAUUAGAUACCCUGGUAGUCCACGCCGUAAACGAUGAGUGCUAAGUGUUAGGGGGUUUCCGCCCCCUUAGUGCUGCAGCUAACGCAUUAAGCACUCCGCCUGGGGAGUACGGCCGCAAGGCUG
This 373-nucleotide ribosomal RNA is filed under the name uncultured organism. RNAcentral's name for it is "partial 16S ribosomal RNA". It matches the Rfam family "Bacterial small subunit ribosomal RNA", at positions 527 to 896 of the family's 1533-position model. The record is from RNAcentral.